CUUGCUCUCUAUCUUCCUCUCUGCACUGCACCCAGUUGCUCUCUUCUCCUUUCUUCGUAUCACAAUCACAAUUACCUGCAGCUUCCAAAACUCUGCCUCAUUUACUUCUCCGUGUUCUUGGCGCCAUGGACUCCAAGCCCUCUAUGCCAGAAAAGCCGUUGCAUGUUUCCAAUUCAUCAGGUUCUCCUUCUUCUUUUUCUUCCUCGUCAUCGUCGCCUUCUUCAAAUCAUUCUGUUAUUGAUAAUUCAGUUCAGAAUUAUUCUUUAGAUGUUGCUAAUAUUAGUAGCAAUAAAGUUAGUAGUGGAAGUAGCGAUGGGGGGUUUGUGAGUGGGGAAUUGGAUUUUGAAAUGGAGACACAGAAGCCAGUGGCCCUCCAGGAAACCCCGCAAAAACUCUUUCAAUGGAGUGGUGCUGGUUCCACUUUUAUUGACCCCGUGAAAUUUCCGGCGCUGAAAAGUGAAGAGCCUGUAUUGACAGUAUCGGCGAAUGAUGUUGAUAAAUAUGUUUUAGGACAGCCAAAAGUUGGGACCUCGGAGAGGGGUGAAUUGAUUGGGUAUGGGGUUGAGGGUUUACAGUUGAGUUGGGCUCAGGGUUCUGUGGAUAAAAAAGGAAUUAAGGUUGUGGAUAAUCAAGGAAAGGAGUUUUCGGUGGAAAUGGGCGAGGUUGUGGACAAAAAUUUGGGUGAGAUAGAGUCUGACAAGCUGGGAGUGGAAGGGAGUCAAUUGGAUGCAGAAGCUGUUGAAAGGAAGAAAACUGAAGUUUAUGUUGGCAGGGCAGUUGAAGAGGGAGAAAUUUGCAGUGGUGGGAAUGAAAAAGUGGACACUGAGACUUCAGAACUGGAUAAUGAGAAGUUGGCCGAAACUGAUAGUGUGGAAUUUACUAGUGGAGGGGACUUGGUUCUGGAGGCUGUACAUGCUACUUUUCCAGGAUCGGGAGUGGCUGUCGUUGGAGAUGUGGAGGGAGGUAAGUAUUCUGAAGUUAAACGAACAGAGGUUCCAGUUGAUGGUAGUGUGCCUCGGGACAAUGGUUUUGAUAAGUUCAGUAAUGAUGUGGAAGAACCAGUUAAUGCGAAUACUGGAUCUGAGAAAAAUGUUGAAGCUAUAACUGGUUUUAAGACUGAAAUCUCAGAAGUAGAGAGUAGUGGAAGGAAAAUUGAUGUUUAUGGUUUGGGAGGGGAGGAACAUUCAGAAAUCAGGGCUGUUUUUGAUGAUCCAGUCAUAAAGGGUAGCCGGGAUAUCGUGAAAAUCAGUGUUGAAAAUACUGAAGUUGCAGGCACCACAAAUGAUUAUGAGAAAUUAGAGAAAGAAGUGGAGCCAGAAACUGAUAAAGGAAUAGAACAGAUUGAGCCUGCAGUGGAGAUAGCUACUGAUGGAUUGGAUACUGUGGCCAUUGAUCAAGUAGAUGUAGGGGAUAGAGAUGGAACUCUGGCAACUGCUUCUAUUGCGGAAACUGCACAAACAUGUGUUGCUCAUGAUGUAGAACUUAAUAUGAAUGCUGCAACAGAAAAGUUGGAAGAUGAUCUCUCAGGAAAAGCUGAUUUACCUGAUACUGCAGAAUCUAUUGCUGUUACAAAUGCGGAAUUUAAACUAAAUGCUGAAAUUGAAGAAAAUAAUGAUCUAGGUGGAGAAGGUGAGAAUGAUGGAUCAGUUACAGAUGGUGAGACUGAUGGUAUGUUUUUUGGAAGCUCUGCAGCUGCCAAACAAUUCUUGGAGGAGUUGGAGCGUGGUUCAGGUGUUGGUUCUCAUUCUGGUGCGGAGAGUUCUCGUGAUUAUUCACAGAGAAUUGAUGGUCAAAUUGUGACAGACUCAGAUGAAGAAGUGGACACUGAUGAGGAAGGUGAGGGGAAGGAACUGUUUGAUUCUGCUGCCUUGGCAGCCCUCUUGAAAGCAGCAACUAAUGCUGGCUCAGAGGGUGGCACUGUCACUGUGACCUCUCAAGAUGGAACCAGGCUCUUUUCUGUUGAGCGACCUGCAGGUUUGGGGUCCUCUCUCCGACCUGUGAAACCUGCUUCGCGACCAAAUCGUCCCAGUCUUUUUGCUUCUUCCAGUCUCACAACUGGUGGAGACUCAGAUGCCAACUUGAGUGAAGAAGAGAAACAGAAACUGGAGAAGUUGCAGCAGAUAAGAGUGAAAUUUUUGAGGCUUGUUCACAGGCUGGAUCAUUCUCCAGAGGAGUCAAUAGCUGCACAGGUUCUAUAUCGUUUGGCCCUUGUUGCAGGGAGGCAAACCAAUCAACUGUUUAGCCUUGAAGCUGCAAAGAGGACAGCUUUGCAGCUUGAAGCAGAGGGGAAGGAUGAUUUGGACUUUUCCUUGAACAUACUUGUCCUUGGGAAAACAGGUGUGGGCAAGAGUGCUACAAUAAAUUCUAUUUUUGGCGAGGAGAAGUCCCCGAUUAAUGCAUUUGAACCUGCAACUAAUUCUGUUAGAGAAAUCACUGGUGUGGUAGAUGGAGUGAAGAUCAGGGUAAUUGAUAGCCCAGGUCUCAAGUCUUCUGGUUCAGAACAAGGGUUAAACCGCAAAAUAUUGACUUCCAUAAAGAAGUUCAUGAAGAGUUGUCCCCCGGAUAUUUUCCUUUAUGUUGAUCGGCUUGACGCCCAGACCAGGGAUCUUAAUGAUCUGCCAUUGUUGAGAUCUAUCACUAGUUCUCUUGGCUCUUCAAUCUGGCGAAAUGCUGUAGUAACUCUAACCCAUGGUGCUUCGGCACCUCCAGAUGGACCUUCAGGUUCCCCUUUGAGCUAUGAGGUGUUUGUUGCUCAACGUUCCCAUGUGGUUCAGCAGUGUAUUGGGCAAGCUGUUGGUGAUUUGCGUUUGAUGAAUCCAAGUUUGAUGAAUCCUGUAUCUCUUGUAGAGAAUCAUCUCUCUUGUCGUAGGAACAGAUAUGGACAGAAGGUGCUCCCUAAUGGUCAAAGUUGGAGACCUCAGUUACUGUUGUUGUGCUACUCUAUGAAGAUUUUAUCUGAAGCAAGUUCUCUUUCUAAACCUCAAGAUCCAUUUGACCACCGGAAGCUUUUUGGUUUCCGCUCUCGUUCACCUCCCCUUCCAUACCUAUUGUCUUGGUUGUUGCAGUCCCGUUCACAUCCUAAACUCUCCACUGACCAAGGGGGUGACAAUGUUGAUUCUGACAUUGACUUGGCUGACUUGUCUGAUUCUGAUCAGGAUGAAGAAGAGGAUGAAUAUGACCAGCUCCCACCAUUCAAGCCUCUUAGGAAAACUCAGCUUGCUAAGCUUAGCAAGGAGCAGAAGAAAGCAUAUUUUGAGGAGUAUGAUUACCGUGUGAAGCUCCUUCAGAAAAAGCAAUGGAGAGAAGAGUUAAGGAGAAUGAGAGAGAUCAAGAAGAAAGGAAAGGUUGCUACAGAUGAAUAUGGUUACAAUGGAGAAGAUGUUGAUCCAGAAAAUGGAGCUCCAGCUGCAGUGCCAGUUCCAUUACCUGAUAUGGUCUUGCCACCUUCGUUUGAUGGUGAUAAUCCAGCUUAUAGGUACCGUUUUUUGGAACCAAUUUCACAGUUUCUGGCAAGGCCUGUUCUGGACACCCAUGGUUGGGACCAUGAUUGUGGGUAUGAUGGUGUCAACAUUGAACAAAGUCUAGCUGUUGCUAAUCGAUUUCCAGCAGCAGUUGCUGUUCAAGUAACCAAGGAUAAGAAAGAGUUUAGCAUCCAUUUGGAUUCUUCAAUCUCUGCAAAGCAUGGAGAGGAUGGAUCAAGCAUGGCAGGGUUUGACAUUCAAAAUGUUGGGAAGCAACUUGCCUACAUCUUUAGAGGUGAGACUAAAUUCAAAAAUUUCAAGAAGAACAAGACAGCUGCUGGGGCAUCUGUUACAUUUUUGGGCCAAAAUGUGGCCACUGGUUUCAAACUUGAGGAUCAAAUUGCACUCGGAAAGCGCCUGAUGUUGGUUGGUAGCACUGGGACUGUCCUUUCUCAGGGUGAUUCAGCAUAUGGAGCCAAUUUGGAAGUUCGGCUAAGGGAAGCAGAUUAUCCAAUUGGGCAGGAUCAAUCGUCCCUGGGCUUGUCUUUAGUUAAGUGGAGAGGGGACUUGGCGCUGGGGGCAAACCUUCAAUCCCAGUUUUCCAUUGGACGAAGUUCUAAGGUAGCCAUUCGUGCAGGAUUGAACAACAAGCUUAGUGGCCAAAUUACUGUUCGAACAAGCAGCUCUGAACAGUUUCAGAUUGCACUUGUGGGUCUUCUUCCGAUUGCAAUGUCGAUCUAUAAAAGCAUUAGGCCAGGGGUUAGUGACAAUUACCCUAUGUACUAGAUCCUCCUUCCAUUUUUUUUCAUGGAUGCCAUUGUGUUACAUUCAUUCAGCAUCAUAGAUUAGAUCAUGCAUUGAGAUUGAUUUAGUUUUCAAUAAUGCUGAAUUUUCUUUCAUGUAGAACUAAUUGCUCUUAUGAGGUUCAUGUUAUAUUGCGUGAUGAAAUGUACUAAAUAUGAGAUGUAUUCAUGAGCAAAUCAUGAUAUUUUUGUUGUUUCUUUUGCACUUGUUUAAGUAUGGUGGUAAUUACAUGCAUGCUAUUGGUGCACCAUUGCCCAGUUUUGUCUCGACAAAGUAUAACCUGAUUGAGAGGUAGACUGUUUUUUUAAUGAUGCUUUUGUAAUGGAUACUGGCUUGUUGGGUCAAUGACUGAAACAGUACUCUUGAUUUCUCUUGUAAGAAUGGGCAUGUAAAGCCUUUCGGAGAGAAGCUUCAAAU
This 4682-nucleotide unclassified non-coding RNA is filed under the name Hevea brasiliensis (rubber tree). The record is from RNAcentral. Lineage: Eukaryota; Viridiplantae; Streptophyta; Magnoliopsida; Malpighiales; Euphorbiaceae.